GCGCCCAUAGCUCAGGUGGAUAGAGCAGCGGUUUCCUAAACCGCAGGUCGCAGGUUCGAAUCCUGCUGGGCGCA
Molecule: transfer RNA, 74 nt
Filed under: Isosphaeraceae bacterium
Lineage: Bacteria; Pseudomonadati; Planctomycetota; Planctomycetia; Isosphaerales; Isosphaeraceae
Description: tRNA-Arg
Rfam family: tRNA
About the family: Transfer RNA (tRNA) molecules are approximately 80 nucleotides in length. Their secondary structure includes four short double-helical elements and three loops (D, anti-codon, and T loops).
Source: RNAcentral